This 357-nucleotide long non-coding RNA is filed under the name Pogona vitticeps (central bearded dragon). RNAcentral's name for it is "lncRNA (ENSPVIG00000012409.1)". The record is from RNAcentral. Lineage: Eukaryota; Metazoa; Chordata; Lepidosauria; Squamata; Agamidae.
ACGUCUACCUUUUUACAGAACCGAAAUUAUUUUACACGAAAGGACGGAUAUUAAGCGAUGCCGCCGACACACACCCUGCAAUUAAGCCACCUGUGAAUGCACGGAACGUGUGGCAACGGCAAGAAGCCGCCAAGGCUCUCGUUUGAGGAGCAAACACGCCCGUAAGCAUGGAUACGUGGACAUUUUUUAAAAGAAGAAGCUCAGAUUACAUCAAGACAGAUGGAGACAGAGAUGGUUUACCUGUAAGACAAGAUUUUGCUGUUGACAAUCCUCUUAUGUUCCUUCUUUUAUUAUUUGGAAAGAGUCCCAUAAGUCUACUUGUUUAAUUUUUAUUGCAACUAGAGUUGAAAAGUAGAU